AGUGAACGCUGGCGGUAGGCCUAACACAUGCAAGUCGAACGGCAGCACAGUAAGAGCUUGCUCUUACGGGUGGCGAGUGGCGGACGGGUGAGGAAUACAUCGGAAUCUACUUUUUCGUGGGGGAUAACGUAGGGAAACUUACGCUAAUACCGCAUACGACCUACGGGUGAAAGCAGGGGAUCUUCGGACCUUGCGCGAUUGAAUGAGCCGAUGUCGGAUUAGCUAGUUGGCGGGGUAAAGGCCCACCAAGGCGACGAUCCGUAGCUGGUCUGAGAGGAUGAUCAGCCACACUGGAACUGAGACACGGUCCAGACUCCUGCGGGGGGCAGCAGUGGGGAAUAUUGGACAAUGGGCGCAAGCCUGAUCCAGCCAUACCGCGUGGGUGAAGAAGGCCUUCGGGUUGUAAAGCCCUUUUGUUGGGAAAGAAAAGCAGCAGGUUAAUACCCCGCUGUUCUGACGGUACCCAAAGAAUAAGCACCGGCUAACUUCGUG
RNAcentral lists this ribosomal RNA (492 nucleotides) under uncultured bacterium. Its description in RNAcentral is "partial 16S ribosomal RNA". It matches the Rfam family "Bacterial small subunit ribosomal RNA", at positions 29 to 507 of the family's 1533-position model. The record is from RNAcentral.